CCUACGGGGGGCUGCAGUGGGGAAUAUUGGACAAUGGGCGAAAGCCUGAUCCAGCCAUGCCGCGUGUGUGAAGAAGGCCUUCGGGUUGUAAAGCACUUUCAGUGGGGAAGAAAGCCUUGGGGCUAAUACCCUCGAGGAAGGACAUCACCCACAGAAGAAGCAUCGGCUAACUCCGUGCCAGCAGCCGCGGUAAUACGGAGGGUGCGAGCGUUAAUCGGAAUUACUGGGCGUAAAGCGCGCGUAGGCGGUCUGAUAAGCCGGUUGUGAAAGCCCCGGGCUCAACCUGGGAACGGCAUCCGGAACUGUCAGGCUAGAGUGCAGGAGAGGAAGGUAGAAUUCCCGGUGUAGCGGUGAAAUGCGUAGAGAUCGGGAGGAAUACCAGUGGCGAAGGCGGCCUUCUGGACUGACACUGACGCUGAGGUGCGAAAGCGUGGGUAGCAAACAGGAUUAGAUACCCGGGUAGUC
RNAcentral lists this ribosomal RNA (465 nucleotides) under Vreelandella stevensii. RNAcentral describes it as "partial 16S ribosomal RNA". It matches the Rfam family "Bacterial small subunit ribosomal RNA", at positions 338 to 795 of the family's 1533-position model. Lineage: Bacteria; Pseudomonadati; Pseudomonadota; Gammaproteobacteria; Oceanospirillales; Halomonadaceae. The record is from RNAcentral.